CAUAGGUGAACCUGCGGAAGGAUCAUUCAUAAUAAGUGUUUUAUGGCACUUUUUUAAAUCCAUAUCCACCUUGUGUGCAAUGUCAGGGUUGAUUUUUCUCUCGAGAGGAUCAGCCCCAAACAUCAACUAUAUCUCAACUCUUUGUCUGAAAAAUAUUAUGAAUAAAACAAUUCAAAAUACAACUUUCAACAACGGAUCUCUUGGCUCUC
This 209-nucleotide unclassified non-coding RNA is filed under the name plant metagenome. RNAcentral describes it as "partial contains small subunit ribosomal RNA, internal transcribed spacer 1, and 5.8S ribosomal RNA". The record is from RNAcentral.